UACAGAGGUCGCAAGCGUUGUUCGGAUUCAUUGGGCGUAAAGGGUGCGUAGGCGGCGCGGUAAGUCGGGUGUGAAAUCUCGGGGCUUAACUCCGAAACUGCAUUCGAUACUGCCGUGCUUGAGGACUGGAGAGGAGACUGGAAUUUACGGUGUAGCGGUGAAAUGCGUAGAUAUCGUAAGGAACACCAGUGGCGAAGGCGGGUCUCUGGACAGUUCCUGACGCUGAGGCACGAAGGCCAGGGGAGCGAACGGG
RNAcentral lists this ribosomal RNA (253 nucleotides) under uncultured bacterium. RNAcentral describes it as "partial 16S ribosomal RNA". It matches the Rfam family "Bacterial small subunit ribosomal RNA", at positions 524 to 776 of the family's 1533-position model. The record is from RNAcentral.